GAUAAACGCUAGCGGCAGGCUUAACACAUGCAAGUCGAGGGGCAGCAUAGAUUGUAGCAAUACAAUUGGUGGCGACCGGCGCACGGGUGCGUAACGCGUAUGCAACCUACCCGUCACAGGGGGAUAAUCCGGAGAAAUCUGGUCUAAUACCCCAUAACAUAUGGAUCGGCAUCGGUUCAUGUUGAAAUUUUCGGAGGUGACGGAUGGGCAUGCGUAGCAUUAGCUUGUUGGUGAGGUAACGGCUCACCAAGGCGACGAUGCUUAGGGGGACUGAGAGGUUUUCCCCCCACACUGGGACUGAGACACGGACCAGACUCCUACGGGAGGCAGAAGUGAGGAAUAUUGGUAAAUGGGGGCAAGCCUGAACCAGCCAGGCCGCGUGCAGGAUGACGGCUCUAUGAGUUGUAAACUGCUUUUGUACGAGGGUAAAGUGGGUUACGUGUAACCUUUUGAAAGUAUCGUACGAAUAAGGAUCGGCUAACUCCGUGCCAGCCGCCGCCGUAA
This 504-nucleotide ribosomal RNA is filed under the name uncultured bacterium. RNAcentral's name for it is "partial 16S ribosomal RNA". It matches the Rfam family "Bacterial small subunit ribosomal RNA", at positions 28 to 523 of the family's 1533-position model. The record is from RNAcentral.